AUUGAACGCUGGCGGCAUGCCUUACACAUGCAAGUCGAACGGUAACAGGUCUUCGGAUGCUGACGAGUGGCGAACGGGUGAGUAAUACAUCGGAACGUGCCCGAUCGUGGGGGAUAACGAGGCGAAAGCUUUGCUAAUACCGCAUACGAUCUACGGAUGAAAGCGGGGGAUCUUCGGACCUCGCGCGGACGGAGCGGCCGAUGGCAGAUUAUGUAGUUGGUGGGAUAAAAGCUUACCAAGCCGACGAUCUGUAGCUGGUCUGAGAGGAUGAUCAGCCACACUGGGACUGAGACACGGCCCAGACUCCUACGGGAGGCAGCAGUGGGGAAUUUUGGACAAUGGGCGAAAGCCUGAUCCAGCCAUGCCGCGUGCAGGAUGAAGGCCUUCGGGUUGUAAACUGCUUUUGUACGGAACGAAAAGCCUCUUUCUAAUAAAGAGGGGUCAUGACGGUACCGUAAGAAUAAGCACCGGCUAACUACGUG
Molecule: ribosomal RNA, 482 nt
Filed under: uncultured bacterium
Lineage: Bacteria
Description: partial 16S ribosomal RNA
Rfam family: Bacterial small subunit ribosomal RNA
Source: RNAcentral